GCCAACUCCUGAACAUGCCCAGAAAAAAAUGUCCCUCCCCUGUGCCCCGCUCCGCCACAGCACUGUCACUGGGUUUUGUGUUUCACGUGUAUCUGCUACUCUGCUGGACUAAGAAGAACUAGGGGAGAGUGUCUUCCUCACCCUUGGAUCCCAGAGGAUGCACAAGGCCUGGCCCAGAGCAGAUAAGACCCUAGGGAGCCACAAGAUGGAAGGAAUUGAGUUCCUGAAAUACCAUGUGGAACACAGCUGCCCACUGACCAGAUUCUUCUGCUUCAAACUAUCACAUGAGCAAGGAAUCAUUUUCUGUUGAGUUUGAGCCAAAAUGCAUAUUGACGUCUGCCUGUUACAGUAGCCAGCCCAUCCAAAUUAAUUGACUGCUUCUUGAUCUUACGAUGUAUUUAACCUUUAGCAUGGCUGACAAACUCCCGUGGAUGUAGCUCUUUCAGUCUCGUCGCAGUAGGUGAAGCCUCAGGCUCUGGAGCUGGUCUACAUGGUUCAUGUUUGAGCUCGCAAACCAGCUUUGUGACUUUGGAUAAAGUACUUGAGUUCUCUGUGUCUGUUUCUCUUCCUCCAGAAGAAGAGAAUUUUGUUAAGAACUCCGAACAGUCUGGGAAUUUACCCUACUCACCAGCCAGCUUGCCUCUCUUCCAUGGAUGCUGGCAGAAGACACAAGACUCUCAGGUCAGAGGAAAAGGGUGCUAUCAUUCCCAGCACAGCAGAUGACAUGAACUUCAUGUUUGAAUUGGUUCCCCUUAUCCUGCAAGAUCCCCAGGGUGAGGCGAUGCAAAGCCAGGUAGAUGCUGCACACGUGGGGCAUUUGCAUCACAGCUGAAAACCCUG
Long non-coding RNA from Bos taurus (domestic cattle), 840 nucleotides. NCBI's taxonomy places the organism in Eukaryota, Metazoa, Chordata, Mammalia, Artiodactyla, Bovidae. The record is from Ensembl.